GAAACACAAACUGCUGAGAAUUGACAAAGCCGUGGGCCAGCUGGGCUCUGAAUCCCAAGGCAUAAUGGGGACACAAAGCUGGUAACAGAGCCAAUGUUACUACUUGAAUCAAGGGGAGAGAGGGAUCACCCCUCUAUCAAAGGGGAGUCUGAAAUACCUGCUUCAGCCGUUUCACGGGGCAGCACCUUCUAUGAAAGUAUGGCCCUGGAUCUAGGAAGAACAACCAAUAUCAUUACUUUCAUUGAUGACAAGGAGACCCCAGAGGGGCAGGAAUUGUGAACCACCAGUAUAAAACACGUUUCUGUACUGCAAGCCAGGUAUCACUGGAGUGGCCCCAAACUGCUUCACCACGGAGACAGGGGGCUCCUCAGAAGGAAAAGGGUUGAGUACACAAAGAGGGAAUGAAAAUGAAAGGUACCCUUUUACCCAAAAUUCAGCCUUAAAGUCAAAACUCUGAAGUCCAUGAAGACAUCUAAUGCUAAGAAUAAUAGCCACCAAGAAUCAAUAAUCAUAAUAUGAAUUGACUCCAGAGGAAUUUAAAAUAAUAGAACAGUCUGGGGGAAAAAAAAGACUUUAAAUAAGCAUAUUUAGGCUCUUCAAUGAGAAUAACGAAGGAAUAACAUUUGUGAAAAGAACAGACACUGAGAGUUGGGGAAGGUAGAAAUGUAACAAGAUGAGGUGGCUAUUAUAAAGUACCUUUUU
RNAcentral lists this long non-coding RNA (702 nucleotides) under Bos taurus (domestic cattle). RNAcentral describes it as "long non-coding RNA NONBTAT021676". The record is from RNAcentral. Lineage: Eukaryota; Metazoa; Chordata; Mammalia; Artiodactyla; Bovidae.